Molecule: ribosomal RNA, 242 nt
Filed under: Staphylococcus epidermidis
Lineage: Bacteria; Bacillati; Bacillota; Bacilli; Caryophanales; Staphylococcaceae
Description: partial 23S ribosomal RNA
Rfam family: Bacterial large subunit ribosomal RNA
Source: RNAcentral
GGACCGGGAUGGACAUACCUCUGGUGUACCAGUUGUCGUGCCAACGGCAUAGCUGGGUAGCUAUGUAUGGACGGGAUAAGUGCUGAAAGCAUCUAAGCAUGAAGCCCCCCUCAAGAUGAGAUUUCCCAACUUCGGUUAUAAGAUCCCUCGAAGAUGACGAGGUUAAUAGGUUUGAGGUGGAAGCGUGGUGACACGUGGAGCUGACGAAUACUAAUCGAUCGAAGACUUAAUCAAUUUUUAAA